ACUUGAUAUUCAAAAAUUAUUGAUUUGCUCUUGUGAAUUUUAUAUUAGCCUAGAGAAACUUUGAAAACCUUUCUAUAAAUUGUAUGUCGAAAAAAGUUUUACAAACAUUUAUUAGCCAUUUCGAUAAAGACUAUUGUGAGCAAAAGUUUUUUUUAUUAGAAAAUAAAUAAUAUGUUUAAUAUAAAAUGUGAGUUAGGCUUCUUAUAUUUUAAAAAUUAUAUAAAUUUAUACUGAAAAUAGGUAGAAUUUUCAAAUUUUAAAUUUAUUUGGCUUAAGUACAUAAAUAUGUCAAUUUGAAACUUAUACCCACUAAAUAUUCCAUGUUAGAUAUCGAAAUAAAAGAAAAUUAACUAUUGGUUUCUUAUAUGAAUAAUUCACUCUAAUGCCCUUUUCUCAAUGCCCUUUUGCAACUCUACCCUUUUUUUCCCAUUUUCAUUUCUACCCUUUCUAAUACUUUUCUCCCCAAAUUACCCUUAAUGAGCUACCCACAGACCUAAUUCAUUUCUUCACUCUCUCUCUUCUUCCUCCAUCGCAAAUUGUGAAUGCCGUUGAAUCCCAUGCCGUCGGAAAUAGUGAGUUUACUCGCCGUGAAAACUCAUCUUCGCCGUCGUAAGUAGAGCUGUGUGUCGCCGUCGAAUCUCUUGCGUUUCCCAGGUUUGAUUUUAUAAUGUUAGCUUAAAUUUUCGUUUUCGAAUUGGUUUAUUCGAUUUUUGUUAUUGAUUAUGUGAAUUCGUUAUUUGAAUCCUGAUUCAAUCGACAGUUUGACAUUUGCUUCAGCUUCGAAUUUGAAUUUUGUUUGAGAUUUGAUGAUUGAAUUUGUUUCUAAAU
This 828-nucleotide small RNA is filed under the name Arabidopsis thaliana (thale cress). RNAcentral describes it as "ATSL276320". Lineage: Eukaryota; Viridiplantae; Streptophyta; Magnoliopsida; Brassicales; Brassicaceae. The record is from RNAcentral.